This 1450-nucleotide ribosomal RNA is filed under the name Salmonella enterica subsp. enterica serovar Infantis. RNAcentral's name for it is "partial 23S ribosomal RNA". It matches the Rfam family "Bacterial large subunit ribosomal RNA", at positions 711 to 2141 of the family's 2925-position model. Lineage: Bacteria; Pseudomonadati; Pseudomonadota; Gammaproteobacteria; Enterobacterales; Enterobacteriaceae. The record is from RNAcentral.
AGACCCGAAACCCGGUGAUCUAGCCAUGGGCAGGUUGAAGGUUGGGUAACACUAACUGGAGGACCGAACCGACUAAUGUUGAAAAAUUAGCGGAUGACCUGUGGCUGGGGGUGAAAGGCCAAUCAAACCGGGAGAUAGCUGGUUCUCCCCGAAAGCUAUUUAGGUAGCGCCUCGUGAAUUCAUCUCCGGGGGUAGAGCACUGUUUCGGCUAGGGGGCCAUCCCGGCUUACCAACCCGAUGCAAACUGCGAAUACCGGAGAAUGUUAUCACGGGAGACACACGGCGGGUGCUAACGUCCGUCGUGAAGAGGGAAACAACCCAGACCGCCAGCUAAGGUCCCAAAGUCAUGGUUAAGUGGGAAACGAUGUGGGAAGGCCCAGACAGCCAGGAUGUUGGCUUAGAAGCAGCCAUCAUUUAAAGAAAGCGUAAUAGCUCACUGGUCGAGUCGGCCUGCGCGGAAGAUGUAACGGGGCUAAACCAUGCACCGAAGCUGCGGCAGCGACACUCAGGUGUUGUUGGGUAGGGGAGCGUUCUGUAAGCCUGCGAAGGUGGCCUGUGAGGGUUGCUGGAGGUAUCAGAAGUGCGAAUGCUGACAUAAGUAACGAUAAAGCGGGUGAAAAGCCCGCUCGCCGGAAGACCAAGGGUUCCUGUCCAACGUUAAUCGGGGCAGGGUGAGUCGACCCCUAAGGCGAGGCCGAAAGGCGUAGUCGAUGGGAAACGGGUUAAUAUUCCCGUACUUGGUGUUACUGCGAAGGGGGGACGGAGAAGGCUAUGUUGGCCGGGCGACGGUUGUCCCGGUUUAAGCGUGUAGGUGUGUGUUCCAGGUAAAUCCGGUUCACUUUAACACUGAGGCGUGAUGACGAGGCACUACGGUGCUGAAGCAACAAAUGCCCUGCUUCCAGGAAAAGCCUCUAAGCAUCAGGUAACAUCAAAUCGUACCCCAAACCGACACAGGUGGUCAGGUAGAGAAUACCAAGGCGCUUGAGAGAACUCGGGUGAAGGAACUAGGCAAAAUGGUGCCGUAACUUCGGGAGAAGGCACGCUGACAUGUAGGUGAAGUGAUUUACUCAUGGAGCUGAAGUCAGUCGAAGAUACCAGCUGGCUGCAACUGUUUAUUAAAAACACAGCACUGUGCAAACACGAAAGUGGACGUAUACGGUGUGACGCCUGCCCGGUGCCGGAAGGUUAAUUGAUGGGGUCAGCGCAAGCGAAGCUCCUGAUCGAAGCCCCGGUAAACGGCGGCCGUAACUAUAACGGUCCUAAGGUAGCGAAAUUCCUUGUCGGGUAAGUUCCGACCUGCACGAAUGGCGUAAUGAUGGCCAGGCUGUCUCCACCCGAGACUCAGUGAAAUUGAACUCGCUGUGAAGAUGCAGUGUACCCGCGGCAAGACGGAAAGACCCCGUGAACCUUUACUAUAGCUUGACACUGAACAUUGAGCCUUGAUGUGUAG